CGGGUGAGUAAUACAUAAGUAACCUGCCCUAGACAGGGGGAUAACUAUUGGAAACGAUAGCUAAGACCGCAUAGGUACGGACACUGCAUGGUGACCGUAUUAAAAGUGCCUCAAAGCACUGGUAGAGGAUGGACUUAUGGCGCAUUAGCUGGUUGGCGGGGUAACGGCCCACCAAGGCGACGAUGCGUAGCCGACCUGAGAGGGUGACCGGCCACAUGGGACUGAGACACGGCCCAA
This 237-nucleotide ribosomal RNA is filed under the name uncultured bacterium. RNAcentral describes it as "partial 16S ribosomal RNA". It matches the Rfam family "Bacterial small subunit ribosomal RNA", at positions 103 to 334 of the family's 1533-position model. The record is from RNAcentral.